UUAAGUAUGACCACACAUUAAUAACUCUAUUGAUUGGUAGUACUAGUAUUUUAUCUUUUUAAGAGACACGUAUCCAACUUUAGUAGUAAUAUUAAAACCCCCCUCACAAAGAAAAAUCUACAAUCUUUCUCAUUCUCUCUUGUCAAGAUCUUGUUGAGAGAUGCUGAAGAACUAAGCUAUUAUCAUCUUCUUCACAAGAGAGUCAACACAAGGCAUCCAAAGCCAAGGAUAAGAUUUCAAGAUCAUGAGCACUUGGGAGGCCGAAACUGAUUCAUUCACACUUGAUCCAUUUUUUGUUGGAAAAUAUGAUGUGGUGGAGGAGGAGAAGGUAGUCGUAAUUGUCGGAAUGGGCGGCGUUGGAAAUAUAGCUUUAACUAGGAAAGUUUUUCAAUUGAAAACCAAAGAUGAAGGCUGAAUUUUUUUUUAUUUAAAACGAUUCCAUGAUCAUUUUUCAUAAAAUUCUUACAAGAAGAUUUGAAAGAUAAAAAUUAUCUUCUUGUACUUGAUGAUGUUUGGAAUCAAUAUAUUACAAAAAUGUAUAAGUUAUUUCCACUAAGGGAAGUAAUAUUAUAAUUAUUUAGGAAUAGGAAUGAGAUUGCCUUAGUUCCUAGCUUAUCUAGCCUUGUCCAUAAUCAAAGCAAAAACUUUUCGACAUGAACUAUUAUAUCAAAAUUUAAAAAUAUUGGAAGAAUAAUAAUAGCAUAAAGAUGUAGGUUUUGCCCUCAGUGAAAAUUGGGUUUCACAUGGUGGAGGAGGUGAAAAUAUCUCAAAAAUAUUGAAAUUAGGCCUUUUGAUCAUUUGCCUCCACCAAGUGCUUUUUGUAUUGUUUGAUUUUCCCAAUUAUGAGAAAAUGGAGAAGGGAGAUAAGUGUUGGCAAAUUGAGGAAUGACAUACUGCAAAAGGUCAAUUAAACCAUCUCAAUGCUCUUUCUUGGUUCAUCUCGUCAUGAGUUUGCAAAUGAAUUGAACAGAUAGGCAUUGAUGCCCUCGUACUCAUCCUCAGCCGCGUCUAGCACUCUUGCUCCGGUUGAAGUCCUAUUGCCUAGUGAGCUGAUUACUCGAGGUCGAACUGAGGCGUUGAAGCUUGCCUUCCGAGUUUUUUUGCGAAGGAGACAGUGAGCUAUACUUCCUUAUGCAAUAGAAGAAACCAUUAGUCCAAGAGUUGUCCAUUUGAUUUAUUGGAGAGACAUGGAAAAGGAGAGUCCAAGUAAUUGAUGAAUUUUGUACUAGUUAGAAUACAAGUGUCUACUUAUCUCCUUGAGAAGACCUUUCGUUUUGUUAUUUUAUCAGCUUUCUCUUGAUCAA
Long non-coding RNA from Salvia splendens (bonfire salvia), 1304 nucleotides. RefSeq lists it as uncharacterized. Lineage: Eukaryota; Viridiplantae; Streptophyta; Magnoliopsida; Lamiales; Lamiaceae. The transcript is spliced from 3 exons. The record is from RefSeq and is a predicted model, not a curated record.